GAGAUAGCUCAGUGGUUAAGAGCACUGGCUAUUCUUCCAGAGGUUCCGGGUUCAAUUCCCAGUACUCA
RNAcentral lists this transfer RNA (68 nucleotides) under Neotoma lepida (desert woodrat). It matches the Rfam family "tRNA". Rfam says of the family: Transfer RNA (tRNA) molecules are approximately 80 nucleotides in length. Their secondary structure includes four short double-helical elements and three loops (D, anti-codon, and T loops). The record is from Rfam by way of RNAcentral. Lineage: Eukaryota; Metazoa; Chordata; Mammalia; Rodentia; Cricetidae.